This 8221-nucleotide long non-coding RNA is filed under the name Equus caballus (horse). RNAcentral's name for it is "lncRNA (ENSECAG00000044895.1)". The record is from RNAcentral. Lineage: Eukaryota; Metazoa; Chordata; Mammalia; Perissodactyla; Equidae.
UGCUUUGUCAUGUCUUUGUCUGGCAAUGGCAUAUAACGGUGGUGAAAACCACUCUUCUUCAGAGAGCUUUCUUCCGGCACUUCUAGGCUAGUCCUCAGCUUGGCAUGACGAAAACUUUCUGCUACAGAACGAUUAUCGAUUAUUUGCAUUGAUAAUGGUUAUGGGAAACGGUUAAGUCAAUGGUUGUGUUGGAGCAAAGAAACGAGAGGCCGACUAUUGGGGUGAUGAUUUCAGAGCAACCCAAUGCGAUGGUGCCCAGGUCGCAGUCUCGUGGUGUUCACACCCGCUGUGAUCCCCUCCCUGAGUGUGGCCCAGGGACCCUGUUCUCACUAGCGGAAUUUGGUAAAGUGAUGAUGUGUACAUAAAUACAUCACAGAAGAUCGCAACUCCCGCCUUGCUAGGACACUCUCUCCCUUGCUGGCUUUGAGGAAGCCAGCUGCCAUGCUGUGGGCUGCCCUCUGGAGAGAGCCAUGAGGCAAGGAAGCGAGGGCAGCCCCCAGCCAACAGCCAGCGAAGACCUGAGGCCCUCAGUCAGACAGCCUGCAAGGAACGGAAAUUCCACCAAGGACCACAAGAGCUUGGAAGCGGAUCCUUGCCCAGUCGAGCUUCAGAGGAGACCACAGCCCUGGCCCACACCUGGAUCACGACCUUGCUGAGGACCCGAUUAGGCUUCGCCCAGACUCCUGACCCACAGAAACUGUGAGAUAAGUGUACAUUGUUGUAAACCACUCAGUUUAUCCUGAUUUGUUGCACAGCAACAGAGAAUAGUUUCUUUCUCAGGCUGUAAAGCAACAUAGAAUAGAAAAAGCCCGUUUGACGUGUUUUCAAAUCAGCUGCAGGCAAACAGAAAACGCUCACAGACCUGCACAUUCGCAUCUGUAAGAUCCCAGUGUGAUCAGGACAGUACUGGGGUUGCUCAGAUAUGUGAAAGGUUCUAGAAAAUCCUCUCCCUGGUGCAAGCCCGAAGGCAGAGUCGACGGGGCACUGGGGUGGCUCUCCAGGUCCCACGUGGGCCACUCCGGGCGCUGAGCACGUGGGGCACCGGGAGCCUCGGCGCCCUUGCCAUCACAGGCCAGUCCUAGAGGAGGAGAAGGAGCAGCCCCAGAAAGCGAGCCGGGGCAGAGCCACGUCCCGUCGCCCCUCAGGAGUGCGGCGCCCGGCUUCCUCUGCAACGAGUCUUUGGUGAAACAAAGUUCGCGAAAAGGCGCCUCUGUUUAGAAACAGGUUUCACGUGUGGCCGGAGGAGGAGGCUGGUGGCGAGAGGGGUUCUGGGACACGCUGGGCAGUGAGAGCUACUUACUUGGCCCGUGUCUCUAGAGAGGAGGACGGGGCGGGAUUAAAGGAGAAAGGGGGCUCCCUCCCCACCAUGGAAGGGCAUCCUGAAGCCGUGAGGCCCGUCAUGCUUUGAGGUUCUGGAACAGGAAAAGGGCCCGAAGUCUUCACCUUGAGGACUCGAUGCCGUCUGCGUGCUGCCUCCAAACAGCGAAAGUAAUCACGCACUUGACUCCCACUCUGCUUUUAUCGCACCAAGUUCAAAGGACUUUUAAAAGGGGGUCUGUGUCUUGACGGGUUUAGGAAAACUGGACUCUUGGGAUCAGCUGGCUCUAUUCUGGGCGCGGCUGCUUGCUAUUCUAGGUGACCUGGUGUGCCGUGGGAAGGGCUUGACGAUCUCUUGGAGCCUCUCCUGUUCAUGAAAUUUGAGGAGAGAGUGAGAAACGAGAGACACAGAGACACCCGUAACAUGUCUGGUUUCCCAAAAGCCUUUGAAGUAAUAACUCAGAGCAUUUUGGGCUGGGAGGAGGAGGCCGGGAAUGCUUGAUGGCGCCAACACAGGCGACAUGAGGAAGGCAUUUCCUGUUCUCUCGGUGGCUGUUACAGAGGUCCUUUAUUCACCAUGGAACGCCCACAAACGCAUGAGUAUACUUCAUGGCUCUCCUCGGUCCCUGACAGCUGAAUCUGAAGGACACGGGGACAAUGAAUACAAGGGUCCUGUAAUCAGUCACAGGCAGGUGGGCCAGAAUUUGGGCGACCACGUGCUUUGGUCCUGGCGCGCAGCCUUGGAUCUAAGGGUCAGAUGGUGGAUAUCUUACUCUUGUGCCAGAUGGCUCUGUAACAGCUGCUCAGCUCUGGUGGUGUUGCAUGAAAGCAGUCACAGACAACAUGUAAAUGGACAGGUGUGCCUGUGGCCAAUAAAACUAUAUUUCCACAACCGGGCUGUGGGCCAGAUGGUCUGGGGAGCCCGGGGCCAAGGGAUUGAAAAGAUGAAAUCUCCAUCUUUAGAGCAUCGACAAGUCUGACUCCUUCUGAGAAGCGGUGGCAGGGGCGCUGUGGACGGCCCAGAGAGCUUCUGUGCGGAACCGUGGCCAUCUGCUUACUGGUUAUCACAAAGAUCCAGAGGUUUGGAUUCAGGGCCCAUCAGUUACUAGUUCUGCGAUCUGGGACAGGUUGGUAACUACCGUAGGACUCAAUUUUAUCACGCAAAGUAGGAGAUAAUGACCCUUAAGCUCGGGCCGCAGAGGUUUCAGGGGCUAACGCGGGAAGGCACCUGGCGCGGAGCUGGCUCUGGGUCUAGGUCCCGCUCCUGCUGAGCCGACGUCUUUGGCUUAGCAAAUGGGCUUUCCCUUCCCACCGUGUGAGUUGGCUGAUGUUUAUCAAAGUUGAAAUGGGAAGAGCAGCACUUUUAAUUUUUGGCCGUCCCCAUGUGGGACGACUCUGCAUAAAGUGAGUGACUACGUCAGUUCAGAGCAGUGAACACUGUCUGCAGGAGAAACAGCCCCGAAGAAAAGAUCGUGCCCAGAAUGUCACCCUUAAGGCCAUCAUUAGGACUUGAAAAAAAUAUUUGGGAGGCAGUCUUGACAUAACUAUUAUACACAGACAGUUGAAAAGUGAAAUGGAGUGGGACGCCCCACCCGCAGCGCCCUCGGGCCAGACAGAGAUGGUUACUAAGAGAGUUCUGCUCCUUAAGAGGCGUGUCGUCCAACAGAAAUGUGCACUCUGGACAAUUUUUAAGAGGAUGUCUCUCCCUUUGUUGCUUCUGAGAUGAAUUCUAAUAAAACAUGGGGAUGCCAAGAUCAGAACUGCUUCCUUUGGGAGCAGAAAGCCUCGGCGCCAAGUCUGCUUGUGAAGUCCCGUCCCCAAAGGCCAUUUCUUCACGGCAUGCGCCUGUCCUGAUUCACCUGCGUUAAGGUGAUGUUUUCCAAGAGCAAACCCCAAGCACACGGAAUGAGCUCUGGAUGCCACACGACGGGGGCGUGGGACUCAGGUUUAGGGACCACAGAACUGCCCCCGACCCCAGCUGAGCCCCAUGGAAUAAACUCCUUCUCCUGCCGCCAGGAGCACCUGUGAACGCCACCCUCCGGAAAGGCGCCGCCCACAGAGCCGGCCCAGAUGAGGGAGGAGGCAAAGCACCUCUGAUGAGGGCAAUGACAGAAAAGGUGCAAAGUGAGGGGAACGGGAAGAAAGAGAGGGAAAUGUUGUCUGGUACACCAACACUUUCUAGAACCUUGGAACACAAUCUUAAAUCUCAAGCAAAACAUUUACAUCGGCCUUAUUUAUUGCUUACCCAAAUACACCACGUGCCCCUUGUUCAUUCAUUCGACACCUAGUUAUUGACUGGUCCUAGGUAUCGGGAUUGUUCUGAGCACCCGGGAGGCAGCGAUAAACACAACGGGCUGUCUGUGCUCCCUUGAGCUUGUGUUCUCGCGGGUUCAGGUCGGGCCAUCCUGGUUAGCCCAUUCUCUUGAGCAGGCUCCCAAUUCCUUACUUCAAGUUCCUGCUCUGUGAGGGCAGCACAUAGCAUCUUCUGGCCCAUGGCCCAGAUCUGGCACCUGCAGAGGACAUGGAAAGGCAGGUGGAUGGUGAAGAGGAUUAAUUAAAGGGAUGAUCCAUGGCUUUCUGUACGCAUGCUAGCCAGGUUAGAAUUAUUUACGUGGAUGCUUGGGACGUUCCUAUAAUUUAAGCACCACAUCACAGAGUAUCUUAAAGGACAGUUCUCAAUUUUAUUUUAUUUUUCCUCAUGCAAACACUAGGGUGUCUUGUGCUUAAACACCGUAAUUUUCAACAAACGAGCCCCUGCCACUGCUGUGUUGAACACCACCGUAAUUUACUUGUUAGAAUCAGGGAUAAUAACGAGUUCAUCUGAGUGGUAACAACAGCCUGGAAGAAAUGACUCUGAAAGAUGUGUUUAAGGGACCAGGCCGGGGAGGGAGGGGGACUGAGGGAUGUAACUAAAGGCAUUUGGAGGUGAAGUGGAGGGGGCGCUGGGGAGGAGGCUGGAUGGCUUCUGGAACUUUCGAGAGAGCGUGCAUUUUGUCAGAAGCUGAGCAUUUCCAGGUCCUUAGAAAUUACCUGGCAGCCCUCAUUUGACAGAGGGGACAAUCAGUCCAGAGAAGUUAAGUGACAAGGCCACAGAGCUUGUAAGGGCCGCCCUGGGGACAGAUCCCAGGUCUCCGGAUUCUUGGCCCAGUGCCCGUUCAGCUCAGUGGAAGAGUCCAUCACACUCAUCCGCUGUUUCACAGACUCCAACUGAGUCAACCAGUUUCCAGAAAAUCUGGCUAUUUUACGAAUCUCCACUGGGAGAAUUAAUGUAGCAUAUAUUUUGGGCAUAGCACAGUGGUUAAAGAAUUCAAAAUCGACUUAGUGAAAACUGACAGAUUUAUCUAUCUUUUCAUUUUUGGCUCUGCUCGGGGGGUUCUCUCUCGGUGCCAUCCUGCCCCCUAGGGGACACCUGGCAACGUCUGGAGAUACUUUGGGUGGUGACAUCUUGGGGCCGGUGGCGUUCACGGCAUCUAGUGAGCAGAGGCGGAUAUGCAGCUGAACAGAAGCAUCCUACAGGGCACAGGACACCCUCCGCCCUAAACAACGACCGGGCCCCUAACCCUCUCCCCACCCACUGGGCCGGGGCCUCCUCCCGGCAAGGGGACGCGCACAGCCACCUCCCGGGCAUCUUCGCGUCCUCGUCCCACCACUCCCACCACGGAGCCGCCCUGCUCCCCGCCUUCCGGCCCCUUCUGGCCUCUAGGGAGGGCUGUGAGCUCCCACCCUACAAAUGGGGAAACUGAGGCAGGGCGGGCACGGGACGCGGGUCUCGCCGCUCCGAAGGGAGGCGCGGGCCUGGAAGGCGGGGUCUCCUCCGGAGUCCCCGAGGGCGCCCAGCACGAAGCCGGCGCGUGGCGAGCGGCUCGUCUCUCCGGCGCACUCCCACCCGCCUCCCGACUCCGCGAGGUGCUGCGCGGCCAGGGCCCAGCCAAACGGCCUGCGCGGCGGGCCUCCCCGGCGCAUGCGCGCGCGCGGGGCACUGUGGGAGGCUGGCCGCGCGCCCUCAGCGCAACCUGACGCCGGCGCGGUUGUCAGGGCAACGGGGGGGGCGGGGCGGGAGCGAGGCCGCGUGGUCUCCACGUGUUUGUCAGCAGCCGUCCCCUAACUCAGGGAAGCUCCUCCCGCUGGUUCCUUGUUGUCCGUUGGUCCGUUCGCUUCCCGGUUGGACGGAAGCAGAUUUCCUGUCCCCGGGAGCACGUACAGUUGACUCAGUGACGGCCACAGGCGGGCGGAUGCCGCGAUUAGUGAUUAGGAGCCGGUGGAGACUGCCAGCGUCCAUCCUGCUGGCGAUCGCCUGUGCCUUUUCUUUCCUCUUUGCCUCUGAGUGCUUUGUAAUUUAACAGCGUCUGUAAUUUCUCUGAGUUCUCCGGCCAGAUCUCACUUUCGCCAAAUCACGGAUCUGAAUUUCGCAGCAGUGCCUGGGUGGUGACGACCUCCAUUAGGAAGCAUUCUCCACGUGACGAAGGAGUUCACAGCAGGAUUUCCUCGAACAGAAAACUGCCUCGGCGCACCGGCUUCACUUUAUAUAAAAUUCAUCUAGAUACAAGAUCCCCUCCCCCCCAUUUCUUUUUUGUGUGUAAACUGCUGUGUAUGGCUGUGCAGGCUGUGCCUGGCGGAGGGGCUGGGAUCUGAAUCCAGCCUAGGCUCUGUUCCUCUGUGCACUGGAGGACAGUGCACCUUCUAAUUGUCUAUCAGAGUGGGUGCCUUUUUCUGUUUGCGUGAAGUUUCUAAAUGUGCUGGCUACCUUCCUGCAUGUAUUUUUGUAAAUUGAGGUAACAUUGGUUUAUAACAUUAUAUAAAUUUCAGGUGUACAUCAUUAUAUUUCGAUUUUUGUGUAGUUUACAUCGUGUUCACCACCCAAAGGCUGGUUACCACCUGUCACCGUACACAUGUGCCCUAUUACCCCGUUUGCCCUCCCUGCACAUAAUAAUUUUACGGUAACCAGUUGCAUGACUUUGGGGUUUAUGGAACGCUUAUAACAAGGUUUUAUAGUGUGUCAUUCCAUUUUAUCCAGGCCAAGACUUUGUGUGGACCCAAGUCUUUGAUUAAAAUUAAACAUGGUGCGAAGAAGGUCGUGUAGGGUGAGGUGUCAGUUCCUUUUUCUGUGCUCCAUCAGGUUGUCCAGGAACCUAGAUUCCAUCCAUCUUCUUGCUCCUCUGUCUCCUAGGGGUUGUCCUUGCACGCAUGGUAGGAGCUUGCUUGCCUCCACUCCGAGUUCCAGCCUGCGGAAGGGGGAGGAGGAAGCCUAGGGCAAGUGGCUUUGUGUUUAAGCUCCCCCAGUACCUAGUUGUAUACUCUAUGAGUGCCUCUGGUUGUGGCAUGUGGGAUGCCAGCCACCUCAGGAUGGCCUGAUGAGCGAGGCCAUGUCUGCGCCCAGGAUCCCAACCAGCGAAACCCUGGGCCGAUGAAGUGGAGCCUGAACUUGACCCCUUGGCCACGGGCCCGGCCUGGAGCAUCUUUUGUUACAAUAUUCAGUCUUAGUCUCUGGUUCCCGGUAUAAGACCUUCAGAGACCUUUGGAAUCUCCAGAAUAAUAAGCAUGUCUUUGGGUCUUUGCAGAUGUCAUCAAGUUAAGAUGAGGUCAUUAAGGGAGGUUCUAAUCCCAUAUGACUGAUGUCCUUAUAAGAAGAGGCCACGUGAAGAUGGAGGCAGAGAGUGAAGCGAUGCAGCCACAAGUCAAGGACGCCAUCAGCUACUGGACAACAGAGAGGCAAGGGCGAUCCUCCUCUACGGCUUGGGAGGAGCACGGCCCUGCUGACACCUUGAUUUUGGACCCUUGGCCACCAGAACUGUGGGAGAAUAAAUACCUGCUGUUUUAAGCACCCCGUUUGUGGCACUUUGUUACGGCAGCCCAAGGAAAUGAAUACAACAGCAGAGUAAGGAAAUGAACGCAACAGCAGAGCGAGGAAAUGCGUGAACCCGGGCCCCGUGAUGGAGCGCAGCAGAGCGGAGCUGCACACGCACCUGGACCGCUCACCUGAGGACAGUUACCUGAGAGGGAGGCAGACCUUUACAUCCUUUAAACUGCUACGCUUUUUGGUCUCUGUUAUAGCAGCUUGUCUUUAUUUUUUUUUCUGAUUCUGUUAAUGAGCUUUCUAACACUGACGUUUCUAUCUCCCAGAAGCUGCCCUUUCUCUUUCCUCCUUCCUUGUCGGCUCGUUCCAUCUGUCUUAAGAAGGGACCUUUCUCCUCUCUUGGAGCAUCCCUUGUGUACCUCCCCGGCUUUGUGACUGACUGCUUUCGAGUGUUGCUUUCGAGGGAGAACUGUAGAAGUUGUGAGAGACGUCUGUGACAAAGUUGGCAUCCAGUAACGCCAACCGGAUUACCGGUUUGGGGGGCAGGUUUUGGAGAAAACAGCAUGAAUCAACCUCAAUUAUUUACUUACAGAAAAGUUGAAGGACAGUGCAGAGAGUUCUCGGAUGCCCCAGCCCAGCUUCCGCAGGUGUCAACAUCUUACAAACCAGAGCAAAGGCUGCAAAGCGAGGAAAUCAACCUCAGUGCAAGACGCUUGCGUAACCGCAGGCCUUUGUUAAGGAUUUACUGGGCUCUCCAAAAGUGUUCCCUGUUUGCUCCAGGAACCCAUCUGGACGCCGCCUUUCAUUCUGUCGUCACUAAUGACGCUCAGCGGCACUCAGCGUCCCCUCCGUCUGGGGCAGCGCCCGAGCCAGCCCUGGCCUCUCGCCGUCUGGACGUGCAGCGUGGCGCUGGGAGCGGAUGGCCGGGUCCGUGCAGAAGACCCUCCUGACAUUUCUCACAAUUGGAUUAGGAUAAUGCAUUCUUUUUUUUUUUUUUUUUUACAACUGCUUGUGCAAAUAUGGCCUUAGUUCCAUAUCUGGAAAAUCAAGUUUUUCAAAAAGUUGUGCUAAAAUAAAAUUCAUAAUAAUCUACACAGAAUUCGAAAUAUA